GCUGGGCAUGGUGGUGCAUGCCUGUAAUCCCAGCGACUAGAGAGGUUGAGGCAGGAGGAUUACAAGUUCAGAGCUAGCCUCAGCAUCUCAGUGAGGCCCUUAGUAACUUAGCAAAAUCCUGUCUCAA
This 127-nucleotide small RNA is filed under the name Marmota monax (woodchuck). Lineage: Eukaryota; Metazoa; Chordata; Mammalia; Rodentia; Sciuridae. The record is from RNAcentral.